UACGUAGGUGGCAAGCGUUAUCCGGAAUUAUUGGGCGUAAAGGGAGCGUAGGCGGAUAUUUAAGUGGGAUGUGAAAUACAUGAGCUCAACUCGUGUGCUGCAUUCCAAACUGGAUAUCUAGAGUGCAGGAGAGGAGAGUGGAAUUCCUAGUGUAGCGGUGAAAUGCGUAGAGAUUAGGAAGAACACCAGUGGCGAAGGCGACUCUCUGGACUGUAACUGACGCUGAGGCUCGAAAGCGUGGGGAGCGAACAGG
RNAcentral lists this ribosomal RNA (253 nucleotides) under uncultured bacterium. RNAcentral describes it as "partial 16S ribosomal RNA". It matches the Rfam family "Bacterial small subunit ribosomal RNA", at positions 524 to 776 of the family's 1533-position model. The record is from RNAcentral.